AACCUCCGCAAUGUGAGAAAUCGCGACGGGGGGAUCCCAAGUGCCAUUCUUAACGGGAUGGCUUUUCAUUAGUGUAAAGAGCUUUUGGAAUAAGAGCUGGGCAAGACCGGUGCCAGCCGCCGCGGUAACACCGGCAGCUCUAGUGGUAACAAUUUUUAUUGGGCCUAAAGCGUCCGUAGCCGGUUUAAUAAGUCUCUGGUGAAAUCCUGCAGCUUAACUGUGGGAAUUGCUGGAGAUACUAUUAGACUUGAGACCGGGAGAGGUUAGAGGUACUCCCAGGGUAGAGGUGAAAUUCUGUAAUCCUGGGAGGACCGCCUGUUGCGAAGGCGUCUAACUGGAACGGUUCUGACGGUGAGGGACGAAAGUUAGGGGCGCGAACCGGAUUAGAUACCCGGGUAGUCCUAACUGUAAACGAUGCGGACUUGGUGUUGGGGUGGCUUUGAGCUGCUUCAGUGCCGAAGGAAGCUGUUAAGUCCGCCGCCUGGGAAGUACGGUCGCAAGACUGAAACUUAAGGAAUU
RNAcentral lists this ribosomal RNA (519 nucleotides) under uncultured bacterium. Its description in RNAcentral is "bacterial SSU rRNA". It matches the Rfam family "Archaeal small subunit ribosomal RNA", at positions 345 to 866 of the family's 1478-position model. The record is from RNAcentral.